UAGCGUAUAUUAAAGUUGUUGCAGUUAGAACGCUCGUAGUCGGAUUUCGGUAUGGGCCGACCUGUCUGCCGAUGGGUACGCACGGGUCGGCGCAUGCUUCCUUCCGGAUACCUUUCUUACUCUUAACUGAGCGAGGUCGGGAUACGGAAUUUUUACUUUGAAAAAAUCAGAGUGUUUCAAGCAGGCAGCUCGCUCUUGCAUGGAUUAGCAUGGGAUAAUGAAAUAGGACUUUGGUGCUAUUUUGUUGGUUUCGAACACCGAAGUAAUGAUGAGAAGGGACAGUCAGGGGCACUCGUAUUCCGCCGAGAGAGGUGAAAUUCUCAGACCAGCGGAAGACGAACCACUGCGAAAGCAUUUG
RNAcentral lists this ribosomal RNA (358 nucleotides) under Haptophyta environmental samples. RNAcentral's name for it is "SSU rRNA". It matches the Rfam family "Eukaryotic small subunit ribosomal RNA", at positions 595 to 957 of the family's 1831-position model. Lineage: Eukaryota; Haptophyta. The record is from RNAcentral.